RNAcentral lists this transfer RNA (57 nucleotides) under Scaphidema metallicum. RNAcentral's name for it is "tRNA-Ser". Lineage: Eukaryota; Metazoa; Arthropoda; Insecta; Coleoptera; Tenebrionidae. The record is from RNAcentral.
GAAAUAUCAAAAAUAAGCUUCUAACUUUAAAAAAAGCACUAACGUGUUUAUAUUUCU